This 897-nucleotide ribosomal RNA is filed under the name Acremonium sclerotigenum. RNAcentral describes it as "partial large subunit ribosomal RNA". It matches the Rfam family "Eukaryotic large subunit ribosomal RNA", at positions 24 to 951 of the family's 3401-position model. Lineage: Eukaryota; Fungi; Ascomycota; Sordariomycetes; Hypocreales; Bionectriaceae. The record is from RNAcentral.
AGUCCCGCUGAACUUAAGCAUAUCAAUAAGCGGAGGAAAAGAAACCAACAGGGAUUGCCCUAGUAACGGCGAGUGAAGCGGCAACAGCUCAAAUUUGAAAUCUGGCCUCACGGUCCGAAUUGUAAUUUGUAGAGGAUGUUUCUGGCGACGUGUCUUCCGAGUUCCCUGGAACGGGACGCCAUAGAGGGUGAGAGCCCCGUCCGGUCGUACACCUAGCCUCUGUGAAACUCCUUCGACGAGUCGAGUAGUUUGGGAAUGCUGCUCUAAAUGGGAGGUAUACGUCUUCUAAAGCUAAAUACCGGCCAGAGACCGAUAGCGCACAAGUAGAGUGAUCGAAAGAUGAAAAGCACUUUGAAAAGAGGGUUAAAUAGUACGUGAAAUUGCUGAAAGGGAAGCGCUUAUGACCAGACUUGGGCUCGGUGAAUCAUCCGGCGUUCUCGCCGGUGCACUUUGCCGUCCCAGGCCAGCAUCAGUUCGCGCCGGGGGAUAAAGGUUUCGGGAAUGUAGCUCCCUCGGGAGUGUUAUAGCCCGUUGCGUAAUACCCUGGCGUGGACUGAGGUCCGCGCUCUGCAAGGAUGCUGGCGUAAUGGUCAUCAGUGACCCGUCUUGAAACACGGACCAAGGAGUCGUCUUCGUAUGCGAGUGUUCGGGUGUCAAACCCCUACGCGUAAUGAAAGUGAACGUAGGAGAGAGCUUCGGCGCAUCUCCGACCGAUCCUGAUGUUCUCGGAUGGAUUUGAGUAAGAGCAUACGGGGCCGGACCCGAAAGAAGGUGAACUAUGCCUGUAUAGGGUGAAGCCAGAGGAAACUCUGGUGGAGGCUCGCAGCGGUUCUGACGUGCAAAUCGAUCGUCAAAUAUGGGCAUGGGGGCGAAAGACUAAUCGAACUACUUAGGGGA